RNAcentral lists this small RNA (2319 nucleotides) under Pongo abelii (Sumatran orangutan). RNAcentral's name for it is "processed transcript". Lineage: Eukaryota; Metazoa; Chordata; Mammalia; Primates; Hominidae. The record is from RNAcentral.
CCUUGUGGGGGAUUUUUAAAAAGUCGUUAUUUUUUUUUUAAAGAAACAUUUCCGUGCUACUGUCUGUCAUCGUCUCUGGGGAAAUCAGCCAGAACCACCGGAACGUAACUGAAACCAGACAAGAGAGGCAGGAGCCCAGGCAGUACCUGCAGCGUCCAGGCACCAGAGCCACCUUGGAACGGGAACGCGUCUCCGGCCGCGGGGCUGCGGCUCCGCCAAACUUUGGGGCGGGUGGGGCGGGUUGGGGCGCCCAGGGGGCUCUGUAGACCGAGGGCGGCCCCCUAACCAUGAUGUUUCGCGACCAGGUCGGGGUGCUGGCGGGCUGGUUUAAGGGCUGGAACGAGUGCGAGCAGACUGUUGCGCUGCUGUCGCUGCUCAAGCGCGUGAGCCAGACCCAGGCCCGCUUCCUCCAGCUCUGCCUGGAGCACUCGCUGGCCGACUGCGCCGAGCUGCACGUCCUCGAACGCGAGGCCAACAGCCCUGGAAUCAUUAACCAAUGGCAACAGGAAUCCAAGGAUAAAGUGAUUUCCCUCCUGUUAACUCAUCUGCCUUUGCUGAAGCCAGGAAACCUCGACGCAAAAGUAGAAUAUAUGAAACUGCUGCCCAAAAUCCUGGCUCACUCUAUUGAACACAACCAGCACAUUGAGGAGAGCAGGCAGCUGCUGUCCUAUGCUUUGAUACAUCCAGCCACUUCAUUAGAAGACCGUAGUGCUUUAGCCAUGUGGCUGAAUCACUUGGAGGACCGCACAUCAACCAGCUUUGGUGGCCAGAACCGAGGCCGCUCAGACUCUGUGGAUUAUGGACAGACACACUACUAUCACCAAAGACAGAACUCCGAUGACAAGCUCAAUGGAUGGCAGAACUCUCGGGAUUCUGGGAUUUGCAUCAAUGCCUCCAACUGGCAGGACAAAAGCAUGGGGUGUGAGAAUGGCCAUGUGCCCCUCUACUCCUCCUCAUCUGUCCCCACCACAAUCAAUACGAUUGGAACCAGCACAAGUACAAGUAAGUUCCCCGGAAGCCCUUUAACGUAGUCUGGUUUGGCGAUUUGCUGUGUAUGUGGCAUGUCCUGCUGACAGUGUCUGCUCCAUGCACCCUGUGACCCUGGGAGAGAAGGACUGAUUGGAAUUGGCUGUGGGAAAGGUCCUUUGGACCCCAUAUUUGUUGCCUUUUGACUCUGCAAAGAUGAAAAUACUGGGAAGGUAAAAGUGACUGGUAGUCCAAAUUUGGGUUAUAAACAGACCAAAAAUAAAUAGAGAAUAAAUGAAAGGAGGAAACUUCCCGUUUCCACAAACAGAAAUGCAUUUCACCCAUGUCUUUCACCCUGGGGUUUUGGAUUUGCCGAGACACUGAGUUACUGUGUGAUUCUCUAAACCUAAUUCUAACCCAUGGUUAACCAGGCAGCCUCAUGGGCUUUGUGCUUUUUCUUUAUUAUUUUUUUUUUCCUCCUUCUUUCUCUUUCUUUCUUUCUGGUUUUUUUUUUUUUGUUUGUUUGUUUGUUUUUCUUAAAUUUCCCCCUGGAAUGUUUCCUCCCUUUGCAUUUUCUGGUUUUAAUCCCCAAUUGUUGGGGCACUUUUUUCCUGACCAGUGGGAGCAGGUUUGCUAACUGAGAAUACUGCUGUGUGCUGUGGCCUGGUGAGAAUGCCGUGGACUUCCUCUCACUCAGUCCAACACCUUAGGAGAGGCGGGUCAGGAACUGCUUUGUGGGUGGGGAGAGCGGAGGACAGCCCUCUGCUCUUUUGACCACUAAAGCAAAGUAUUGCACCCUCGGCUGGGCACUGGGGCUGGGAGUCCUCUCUGUGUCUCCCCACUGAGGCCGAGCAAAGUGACAAACACACCAUUGGUGCCUAUAUAAAGUAGCAGUGUGGAAGUGCACCCUGUCUUCAAACAGUGUUCCUUAAUGCUAGUUUGCACCUGUCUGUGAAUGCAGUGGCAGUGCCAAGAUAACUUUCUUCAAGGAAUGCUUUUGCAAUUAGACCUGAUGUGCCUGUCUUCAUGCAGCAACCCCCAGUUAAAAGAUAUGAGAGGAUUAAUAAUUGGGGCCCUGGCACAGAGACUGAGGCCUGUGAUCCCACCACUUUGGGAAGCCUAGGCGGGCAGAUACUUGAGGUCAGGAAUUCAAGACCAGCCUGGCCAACAUGGUGAAACCCUAUCUCUACCAAAAAAUACAAAAAUUAGCCGGACAUGGUGGUGUAUGCCUGUAAUCCCAGCUACUCGGGAGGCUGAGGUUAAGGAAUCACUUGAACCCAAGAGGCAGAGGUUGCAGUGAGAUGAGAUUGUACCACUGCACUUCAGCCUGGGCAACAGAGUGAGUCUCAGAAG